This is a non-coding RNA of Arabis alpina (gray rockcress), 58 nucleotides long. The record is from Rfam. NCBI's taxonomy places the organism in Eukaryota, Viridiplantae, Streptophyta, Magnoliopsida, Brassicales, Brassicaceae.
UUGGGCGAGAGUAGUACUAGGAUGGGUGACUUCCUGGGAAGUCCUCGUGUUGCCACCC